This 439-nucleotide ribosomal RNA is filed under the name uncultured bacterium. RNAcentral's name for it is "partial 16S ribosomal RNA". It matches the Rfam family "Bacterial small subunit ribosomal RNA", at positions 339 to 795 of the family's 1533-position model. The record is from RNAcentral.
CUACGGGUGGCUCCAGUGGGGAAUGUUGCACAAUGGAGGAAACUCUGAUGCAGCAACGCCGCGUGGAGGAUGACACUUUUCGGAGCGUAAACUCCUUUUAUAUAGGAAGAAGAUGACGGUACUAUAUGAAUAAGCGCCGGCUAACUCCGUGCCAGCAGCCGCGGUAAUACGGAGGGCGCAAGCGUUACUCGGAAUCACUGGGCGUAAAGAGCGUGUAGGCGGAUUAAAAAGUCAGAAGUGAAAUCCUAUAGCUUAACUAUAGAACUGCUUCUGAAACUCUUAAUCUAGAAUGUGGGAGAGGUAGAUGGAAUUUCUGGUGUAGGGGUAAAAUCCGUAGAGAUCAGAAGGAAUACCGAUUGCGAAGGCGAUCUACUAGAACAUUAUUGACGCUGAGACGCGAAAGCGUGGGGAGCAAACAGGAUUAGAUACCCUCGUAGUC